Long non-coding RNA from Anoplopoma fimbria (sablefish), 1108 nucleotides. RefSeq lists it as uncharacterized. The record is from RefSeq and is a predicted model, not a curated record. The transcript is spliced from 5 exons. Lineage: Eukaryota; Metazoa; Chordata; Actinopteri; Perciformes; Anoplopomatidae.
UUGAUGGAAUUGCUAUGAUUUUUUAAUUUAGCUCCUUUAAGUUCAAGUGCGUUAAACUCUCAAGGCCAAUGUAACAAGAUUAUGAGAAGUGAAACACACUGAUUUUGGGAUUAUCCUUGAAAAACAGAAGUAUGUGCGGAAAUGCAUGUCAUCACAUCUAUUCCAGACUAUUCCCCAUCCUCUAUUAAGAGUGUGAAGUCCCAAUGGUUUGAGUCAUUACCACGAAGCAGAGACACUACUUAUCUCAUAUAGAAGACCAAAGCAGACCAACAUGAAUGGAGGAAAGGUCUGAUCAAGACUUUGUAAGGAUCUCAAGAAAAAAAAGAUAUCGAUUGAAUGCGUUGAGAAUGCCGAUGGAGUUCCGGGUGUGGUUGUCUACGAUGAUGAAACUUUCCCCAUUUCUUCCCAACAAGGGGCUGCUUUUGGUGCUGGACAUGGACCUCACAGUUCUGUGAGACCUUACCAAUUCCCCCGUUGUGAGGAUGAGCAGACUGCCAUGGUGCGGGAUCCUCCAGACUCAAAUUAAUUCAAAGGAUCAUGGAUCUCCUCUCAAUCAUGGGCGGCUCUGGCACAUGAGUCACAUGGAGGAGGAGGAUGAAGAAGAGGAGGAGGACACACAUACCUCAAAUUUAGAGAUGAAGCUGCAAAGUAUAUUUAAUGCCUUUUUGUCUAGCAGGUUCUUUGUAAUGUACCAAUAUUUAUGUAUUUACAGCCAUGCUAGCAGCUCAGGGAGGCUUCAAUUGAUCACUUACAAACUGCAACAAUUUGGGGCAGCUAUUCUUUUCCUGCUAAAAUGUGUACAUGUAUACUUUUUCUUAUUAUUUAUAUUAGUAGUCUUAUCAUUAUUAUUAUUAUUUAUGUGGAUCAACAGAGUUAUAAAGUUGUAUGCUCUACAAACCACUCAAGUUGCAGGUUACAACCGUGUCUGUUCAAAAUGUGGACGUCACAUCAUGUUAUCAUAUCGGGCAUUUGUGUAAAAUUAUCUUAAUUAGCAUCCAGUUUUAGGGUCCCGAGGUACGCCAAGGGCUUGAGGGAGAUAUUAAAAAAACUGUUUGUGAAUAUGGAUGCAUGCUUAGUUUCAGGAAACAACAAUAAACUCUUUGAUAGA